Molecule: long non-coding RNA, 620 nt
Filed under: Homo sapiens (human)
Lineage: Eukaryota; Metazoa; Chordata; Mammalia; Primates; Hominidae
Description: non-protein coding lnc-C19orf12-7:1
Source: RNAcentral
AUGAAGACCAUUCUCAGCAAUCAGACUGUUGACAUUCCAGAAAAUGUCAACGUUACUCUGAAGGGACGCACAGUUAUCAUAAAGGGCCCCAGAGGAACCCUGCGGAAGGACUUCAAUCACAUCAACGUAGAACUCAGACUCCUUGGAAAGAAAAAAAAGAGGCUCCGGGUUGACAAAUGGUCGGGUAACAGAAAGGAACUGGCUACCGUUCGGACUAUUUGUAGUCAUGUACAGAACAUGAUCAAGGGUGUUACACUGGGCUUCCAUUACAAGAUGAGGUCUGUGUAUGCUCACUUCCCCCAUCAACGUCGUUAUCCAGAAUGGGUCUCUUGUUGAAAUCCGAAAUUUCUUGGGUGAAAAAUACAUCCGCAGGGUUCAGAUGAGACCAGGUGUUGCCUGUUCAGUACCUCAAGCCCAGAAAGAUGAAUUAAUCCUUGAAGGAAAUGACACUGAGCUUGUUUCAAAUUCAGCAGCUUUGAUUCAGCAACCCACAACAGUUAAAAACAAGGAUAUCAGGAAAUUUUUGGAUGGUAUCUAUGUCUCUGAAAAAGGAACUGUUCAGCAGGUUGAUGAAUCAGAUCUAAGAGUUAUCCAGCUACAGAAAGAAGAUGCCAGAUGAC